UUUAAGAAAAGUAUUACAGGUUGUUGAGACGCUCCAAGAAUCAAGAUUCAUAGAAUUGGAUGAAACUUGAAGGAUUCUUGAGAGGAACAUUGUGGACAUAAUUGGUUGAUCAUACUCUGUACUGCUGAGGUGUUUCUACAUUGACCAGAAACAUGUAUCUACAAUCUUGGAUUGUGCUACCCUGUUCGUGCGUGACAAGAAGUAGAACAAGGGGUUCUUGGACUUUGAGAGGUGUUCUCAAAGGGUUCUGCAGUGAAGAUGUGUAGUUCUUUGUGUAGGUGUUAUCUUUCUAUAUUUGAUUGUUGAGUGGGAGAGGUGUUUACAUUUG
This 328-nucleotide long non-coding RNA is filed under the name Vigna radiata. RNAcentral describes it as "long non-coding RNA (VRAD_LNC006546)". The record is from RNAcentral. Lineage: Eukaryota; Viridiplantae; Streptophyta; Magnoliopsida; Fabales; Fabaceae.